GGGUCAACUGGGGGCUGGAAUUCUCGGACCCUCUGCCGCCGCCCAUAGAGACUGGGAGCAGGAGACAAAAUGGCGGCAUAGUCUCCAAGCCUGGCUCGGGGACGUGGAUUCGGGAAGCAGGAAAUGGCCUGUGGUCUCCGGGAGCGUGUUCUGUAGGACCAUUGCUUUCCUUGAAUGCUUGUCGCGUGAAUAGCCUCAGGACUAGUACCAUGCAUUAGGAUUCAGGAAUUUGAAAAUGAGAAAAGGAUUUAAACUCGAACUUGGGGAAGAUACUGCACUAAAUUUUGUUUUGUAAGUCCUUAAAUUGCUAUUUGUAUUGAAUAAGGUUCCUGUUGAGAGGGGGAGGGGAGUAAGAUGGGCAGUACAGCUCAAGGUCAGAUUUGUCUUUAUUUCAUGUUUAAAAGUCAAACACAAGUAGGUGUCCUCUUAAUGCAAUUUUUUUUCUUUUCCCCCUCCCGUUCCAAACAGGUUCUCCUCUUAGUCUGCAAAUGUCCUUGGGAGGAAACUUGAAAUUAUAUUUGAGUGCUUUCUGUUCUGUAGGGAUUUUAGGCUCUUAAUAACUAAAAAGAACAGGAGGAAGGUUUUUAAAAAAAUUUGUUUUGAGAACUGAUUUGGAAACCUAUGAUUGUAGUUUCCAAAUAAGUGACAUUUUAGUGAUAAUCAUAUUUUGGGGUUGAGUGAUGAGGAUUUUUUACCAAAUGUAUUACUGGUUAUUCAACAUAGCACUCUGUAGAUAGAGCCACAUCAUUCUAUGUGCUUGGGUUUCUCCUUUAGAAUCAAAAGGGGGAAGGAAGUAUGUUCUUCCAGGUAGAGAGGAACUCCUGUGACUGUUGGGCACAAGAUAGAGAGGGAUUCAUGGGAAGGGAAAAAGAGGAAGACAGUUAUCAGGAAGCAGACUCUACCUGUGUCCACUCCUUUAUUGGGUACAAUAAUUCAGUGUUUGUGGUGACAAAAAAUGAACCCAUAGUUUUAGUCACACAUUCAUCAAGUGUGUUGAAAGAAGGUGAGAGUGUAUUUGAAUGAUUUUGGGUACUUGGAUAUAAAUACUGAUUUUUCUCAUUGUUCCUGCAGUACUUUAAUCUUCUAUUUUGCAUGCUGUGUUGAAUCUAAUAUAUAAACUUCGUGGCAUCAGUUAACUCUACCCUGGGGAAUUGGAAUUAAUUUGUAUGAUUUAUUUAAAGGUACUGGAGCCCUGCCUGGGUUGCUCAUAUGCCAGAAGGCUGCUGGUUUGAACCUUGCUCUCCUCAGGAUGCAUACCGGAGGCAACCAGUGCAUGUUUCUCUGUAGCAUGUGUUUCUCUUUCUCCCUCCCCCUUCCUCUCUCUAAAGUCAGUAAAUAUAUGUCGUCGGGUGAGGAUUUUUUUUUUAAGUGCUGGAGGAAGAGCUAAGAUAUGUUCAGCACAAGAACAAUUUUGAGUUACAGAUAGGAGAUACUGAGAUUUGAGGCUAUGACUCUUUACCUUGAAGAUUAAAUCUAGCGUUGCAUCACUUAAAGUCGGUAGUCUGAGGGGUAGUUUUUAUAGCAUUCCUAGCCGUAUUAAGGAAGUCUGUGACCUUACAGCAUUCCUGAACUAAGUCUUACUCUCCCAUCUAUGUGAUUCACGAUAGUACAGAAAAGUGGAGAUUACGGGGGACAGUGAGUAUUUUAACUUUUUUUUUUUUUGAGGGUAGAGGGAUCAGCAUACACUGUGUUUGGGUUUGUAGGGUAGUUGCUGCUUUUGUCAUUUUACCUUCUUGCUGUAAUGCUUGGCUCCAUAUAAGUUUCGAUGGUCACUUUUGAUUUCACUCUGUACGAAGGCAUCAAUAUGAGGAAUACAUCUGUCCUGAGUUACUAUUAGAGCUAUCCUUUAACAGUACCACCGCCUCAUCUCUAAUUUACUGUUUUAGUGAGGGGUUUUGAAUUAACUUGUUUAUAUAUGUCUUGUGAAUUAAGUUUAAUAAUGAGUUAAAAAACAGGUUAUCAGUUCUUGAGUGUAGGGCAGUAAUUUUAUUGCUAUUUUAUUGUUGAAAUUAAUUGCUAUUUCAGUUAAUGGAGUUAACUUUAUUGAGUGUAUUUUUUCUCCUUUCUAAGUAAAAGCAGAAUUGGCUAAUAGAGUUUUUAAAAUCUCUCCUGAUAGCCUUCAGUUUUCAUAUUAUAAGCAGAUGCUUUUUUGUGUAUACUGUAGAUUUUUUGUAUAGUAUUGUGCAAACUUCAAUCUAUUGUGUUGGCUUAUAGCACUGGAAUAUAAUGUAGUCAUGAAUCAUUGCAAUUUGAGUCAAAUUCUUACUACCGUGGACAUUCUUAGACACGCAUUUUCAACUUUAUAUGAAAAGAUCUCAAUUUAAAUUCUGGUAGGGAAGGAAUACUUAUAACAAGUAUUAAACUGAGCAAAAUAUAGACUCAGUAAGUACAAGGAAACACAUUGAAAGUCUAUAUAAACAGGCUUUUUUAAUUGUUUCAUAGCUUGGUCAAAGGAAUGUGUUUUAAAAAUUUCUGUAACCUGGUACAGCAAGUGAAAUUUCUGCCCAGUGUAUUAGUGUAUCUAAUUUUACAGAUGAGGUUUAAAUUUGUAAGAAGUGUAUCUGAAAGCUUUAAUAUAUAUUUUAAAUUACUUUUGUUGUUCAAUUACAGUUGUCUCCAUUUUUCUCCAUUAAUGCUCCCCUGCCCUAACCACCCCCUAGAAAGCGUGCAUAUAUUUAUUUUCUAAGAUUUUACUUAAUUUUUUUAGAAAGAAGGAGAGAAAUAUCAGUGUGUGGUUGCCUCUCACAUUCUCCCAUCUGGGGACCUGGCCUGCAACCCAGGAAUGUGCCCUGACUGGGGAUCGAACCAGCGACUCUGGUUUGCAGGCUGGUGCUCAAUUCAGUGAGCCACACCAGUCAGGAAUAUAUAUAUGUAGGUAUAUAUGUGUGUGUGUGUUUAUAUAUGUUUAUAUUUUAAAAGAGGAGCCCUGGCUGGUGUAGCUCAGUGGAUUGAGCGCAGGCCUGGGAACCAGAGGAUCGAGGUUCAAUUCCCAGUCAGGGCACAUGCCUGGGUUGUAGGCCAGUUCCCGGCAGGGGACACACUAGAGGCAACCAUACACUGAUGUUUCUCUCCCUCUCUCCUUCCCCUCUAAAGAUAGAUAGAUAGAUAGAUAGAUAGAUAGAUAGAUAGAUAGAUAGAUAGAUAUUUAAAAAAUAAUAAAAGAGGGCCAUAAGGCUCAUAUUGCCAGACUUUUACCUUAUAUUUAAGAAAAGUGUUUAAAUAGUAAUGAUAGUCAUAGGAUAAAAUAAAAAAAUUUAACUACAUAAUGCCAUAUAUAUAGAGAACUUCAUUCUUCAUAGACCACAUUCACAAAAUUUUUUACUUUUUUCAUAUAACAUUGAUGUGUAGGUAAUGUUACUGCCAUUUCAUGCUUCAGGAAAGUGAAUUUGAGAAUAUUUAUCACAUGACUAAUUGACUAGUAAAUGGCAGAGCUAGAAAUUGUCUUCUGACUUUUAGACCAGAUAAGUAUUUUCUCCUGAGCCACUCACAAAAGACCUAUGUGUAAUUAAGAUGGUGCCCUGGGGGUGGUAGUAGAACUGCAUAUUUUUUUAGCAGUUAACUUCAAAUACUAUGUCUUUGUGUUUAUGACUGACUAGUAUCUAUUGAAAUAGUAGGUAAAGUAGCUUCAUACUUUUCUAAAAAAACACUUCCAGGCACAGUGAAAUUAGGGUGAGGAUUUUAGGUAAUUUCAGAAUGUUUGCUUGCAUACAGUUUCCUUGGUUUAUCACAGUGUUUGUAUUGGGAUAUGGCUAAGGCCAUGCAUUUCUGUAAAGUACUUUUGAAAACAUUUCCCCCUUCACCUUUGUCUUAAUGGAUUUAGCCCUUAAGUUACUGAUGUAAACAGAAAACUUAGAAGGGAGAGAAAGGUUGGUGAAUGAUUCACAAAUGUUCUAAGCAAUAGCCUAAUAGUUGUCAAACAGAUUCCAUUAAGGGUUAGUGAGGAAUAGCAACAUAAAAUAGUUUACUGGUUUUAAAAAAAUUUUUUAUGUAGCCCUAACUGGUGUGGUUCAGUGGGUUGGGCAUUGCCCUGGAAAACCUAAAGGUCACGCCCUGACCAGGGAUCAAACCCACAACCUUGGCAUAUCUGGACAGUGCUCUAACCGACUUAGAUACACAAUCAGGACUGUUGACUGUUUUUGAAAUGGUCAGUUAACAGUUUGAUACAGUUAAAUAUUGAUAUCCAAGUUGACACAUUGGUUUGUCAACAUAACUCAGGUUUGAACUCAUUAACUAUUCAUGCCAGUCACAUUCCUAAAACAAUUUCAGCUCAUUUAAAUUUACUAAAUUGUAUUGUAAAAGUGUGUCUUUUUCAGUAAAGUAACACAUUUUUCAUUUUCACCAAUAAUUUUAUUGAUUUGGAUAUUUUGAAUAUGUUGGCUGUUUCCUGUGUGGUAGUAUGUGCUUGAUUGACCUCAGUUAUGUCUCGAUUUCAUUGUUGUCAACUUCAACUGGUCUACCCACUGUGGAGUAUCGUCCAGUGAGAAAUCUCCAGCACCAAACUUCGCAAACCACUCUUGACACGUUCCAUUAGUUACAGCAGCACCUUUUUCACAUACUGUGUGUCUUUUUUUGCGUUUCAGUUGCAUUUUUACCUUUUUUG
Long non-coding RNA from Artibeus jamaicensis (Jamaican fruit-eating bat), 4600 nucleotides. RefSeq lists it as uncharacterized. The transcript has 2 exons. Lineage: Eukaryota; Metazoa; Chordata; Mammalia; Chiroptera; Phyllostomidae. The record is from RefSeq and is a predicted model, not a curated record.